CAAACGGCCCUUUUCAGGGCCACUAAAAUACUUUUACGUGGAUAA
This is a non-coding RNA of Nasonia vitripennis (jewel wasp), 45 nucleotides long. Lineage: Eukaryota; Metazoa; Arthropoda; Insecta; Hymenoptera; Pteromalidae. The record is from Rfam.